GACGAACGCUGGCGGCGUGCUUAACACAUGCAAGUCGAACGGAAAGGCCCUGCUUUUGUGGGGUGCUCGAGUGGCGAACGGGUGAGUAACACGUGAGUAACCUGCCCUUGACUUUGGGAUAACUUCAGGAAACUGGGGCUAAUACCGGAUAGGAGCUCCUGCUGCAUGGUGGGGGUUGGAAAGUUUCGGCGGUGGGGGAUGGACUCGCGGCUUAUCAGCUUGUUGGUGGGGUAGUGGCUUACCAAGGCUUUGACGGGUAGCCGGCCUGAGAGGGUGACCGGCCACAUUGGGACUGAGAUACGGCCCAGACUCCUACGGGAGGCAGCAGUGGGGAAUAUUGCACAAUGGGCCGAAGCCUGAUGCAGCAGCGCCGCGUGCGGGAUGACGGCCUUCGGGUUGUAAACCGCUUUCGCCUGUGACGAAGCGUGAGUGACGGUAAUGGGUAAAGAAGCACCGGCUAACUACGUG
RNAcentral lists this ribosomal RNA (468 nucleotides) under uncultured bacterium. RNAcentral's name for it is "partial 16S ribosomal RNA". It matches the Rfam family "Bacterial small subunit ribosomal RNA", at positions 28 to 507 of the family's 1533-position model. The record is from RNAcentral.